Molecule: ribosomal RNA, 2917 nt
Filed under: Aeromonas hydrophila
Lineage: Bacteria; Pseudomonadati; Pseudomonadota; Gammaproteobacteria; Aeromonadales; Aeromonadaceae
Description: bacterial LSU rRNA
Rfam family: Bacterial large subunit ribosomal RNA
Source: RNAcentral
GUUGUAUGGUUAAGUGACUAAGCGUACAUGGUGGAUGCCUUGGCAGUCAGAGGCGAUGAAGGACGUACUAACCUGCGAUAAGCCGUGAGCAGUCGGUAAGAGACAUUACGACUCACGGAUUUCCGAAUGGGGAAACCCACUUAGCAUAAGCUAGGUAUCGCUACGUGAAUACAUAGCGUAGCGAGGCGAACCGGGAGAACUGAAACAUCUAAGUACCCCGAGGAAAAGAAAUCAACCGAGAUUCCCUCAGUAGCGGCGAGCGAACGGGGAUUAGCCCUUAAGCAUCUUGGAAGUUAGUGGAACGGUCCUGGAAAGGCCGGCGAUACAGGGUGAUAGCCCCGUACACGAAAACAACCUUGAUGUGAAAUCGAGUAGGGCGGGACACGUGACAUCCUGUCUGAAUAUGGGGGGACCAUCCUCCAAGGCUAAAUACUCCUGACUGACCGAUAGUGAACCAGUACCGUGAGGGAAAGGCGAAAAGAACCCCUGUGAGGGGAGUGAAAUAGAACCUGAAACCGUGUACGUACAAGCAGUGGGAGCCCUUCGGGGUGACUGCGUACCUUUUGUAUAAUGGGUCAGCGACUUACAUUUUGUAGCGAGGUUAACCGUAUAGGGGAGCCGUAGGGAAACCGAGUCUUAACUGGGCGUCUAGUUGCAAGGUGUAGACCCGAAACCGGGUGAUCUAGCCAUGGGCAGGUUGAAGGUUGAGUAACAUCAACUGGAGGACCGAACCCACUAACGUUGCAAAGUUAGGGGAUGACCUGUGGCUGGGGGUGAAAGGCCAAUCAAACUCGGAGAUAGCUGGUUCUCCCCGAAAGCUAUUUAGGUAGCGCCUCGGACGAAUACUACUGGGGGUAGAGCACUGUUUGGGCUAGGGGGUCAUCCCGACUUACCAACCCCAUGCAAACUCCGAAUACCAGUAAGUAAUAUCCGGGAGACACACGGCGGGUGCUAACGUCCGUCGUGAAGAGGGAAACAACCCAGACCGCCGGCUAAGGUCCCAAAGUUCUGGUUAAGUGGGAAACGAUGUGGGAAGGCUCAGACAGCUAGGAUGUUGGCUUAGAAGCAGCCAUCAUUUAAAGAAAGCGUAAUAGCUCACUAGUCGAGUCGGCCUGCGCGGAAGAUGUAACGGGGCUCAAACCAGGCACCGAAGCCGCGGAUUCACGCUAAGCGUGAGUGGUAGGGGAGCGUUCUGUAAGUCUGCGAAGGUGUGUCGAGAGGUAUGCUGGAGAUAUCAGAAGUGCGAAUGCUGACGUAAGUAACGAUAAAGGGGGUGAAAAGCCUCCUCGCCGGAAGACCAAGGGUUCCUGUCCAACGUUAAUCGGGGCAGGGUGAGUCGACCCCUAAGGCGAGGCCGAAAGGCGUAGUCGAUGGGAAGCAGGUUAAUAUUCCUGCACGACUUGUAAUUGCGAUGGGGGGACGGAGAAGGCUAGGUGGGCCAGGCGACGGUUGUCCUGGUGAAAGUGCGUAGGUGGUGUUUCUAGGCAAAUCCGGAGACACAACACUGAGACACGAGACGAACACACUACGGUGUGGAAGCCAUUGAUGCCCUGCUUCCAGGAAAAGCCUCUAAGCUUCAGAUUACAAGUCAUCGUACCCCAAACCGACACAGGUGGUCGGGUAGAGAAUACCAAGGCGCUUGAGAGAACUCGGGUGAAGGAACUAGGCAAAAUAGAACCGUAACUUCGGGAGAAGGUUCGCUCUUGACAGUGAAGUCCCUUGCGGAUGGAGCAGUUGGGAGUCGCAGUGACCAGAUGGCUGGGACUGUUUAUCAAAAACACAGCACUCUGCAAACACGAAAGUGGACGUAUAGGGUGUGACACCUGCCCGGUGCCGGAAGGUUAAUUGAUGGGGUUAGCGCAAGCGAAGCUCUUGAUCGAAGCCCCGGUAAACGGCGGCCGUAACUAUAACGGUCCUAAGGUAGCGAAAUUCCUUGUCGGGUAAGUUCCGACCUGCACGAAUGGUGUAACCAUGGCCAUGCUGUCUCCACCCGAGACUCAGUGAAAUCGAAUUCGCCGUGAAGAUGCGGUGUACCCGCGGCUAGACGGAAAGACCCCGUGAACCUUUACUACAGCUUGGCACUGAACAUUGAACCUACAUGUGUAGGAUAGGUGGGAGGCUUUGAAGGCGUGACGCCAGUUGCGCUGGAGCCGUCCUUGAAAUACCACCCUUGUAUGUUUGAUGUUCUAACGCAGGCCCAUGAAUCUGGGUCGCGGACAGUGCCUGGUGGGUAGUUUGACUGGGGCGGUCUCCUCCCAAAGAGUAACGGAGGAGCACGAAGGUUGGCUAAUCCUGGUCGGACAUCAGGAGGUUAGUGCAAUGGCAUAAGCCAGCUUAACUGCGAGACGGACAGGUCGAGCAGGUACGAAAGUAGGUCAUAGUGAUCCGGUGGUUCUGAAUGGAAGGGCCAUCGCUCAACGGAUAAAAGGUACUCCGGGGAUAACAGGCUGAUACCGCCCAAGAGUUCAUAUCGACGGCGGUGUUUGGCACCUCGAUGUCGGCUCAUCACAUCCUGGGGCUGAAGUCGGUCCCAAGGGUAUGGCUGUUCGCCAUUUAAAGUGGUACGCGAGCUGGGUUCAGAACGUCGUGAGACAGUUCGGUCCCUAUCUGCCGUGGGCGUUGGAUGAUUGAAGGGAGUUGCUCCUAGUACGAGAGGACCGGAGUGAACGAACCUCUGGUGUUCGGGUUGUCACGCCAGUGGCACUGCCCGGUAGCUAAGUUCGGAAUCGAUAACCGCUGAAAGCAUCUAAGCGGGAAGCGAGCCCUGAGAUGAGUCAUCCCUGACCCCUUGAGGGUCCUAAAGGGCCGUUGGAGACCACAACGUUGAUAGGUGGGGUGUGUAAGCGCGGCGACGUGUUGAGCUAACCCAUACUAAUUACCCGUGAGGCUUAACCAUACAACACCCAAGAAGUGUUCU